UACGUAGGGUCCAAGCGUUAUCCGGAAUCACUGGGCGUAAAGCGUGUGUAGGCGGCGAUUCGCGUGCAAUGCGAAAUCCUGUGGCUCAACCAUAUGGACUGUAUUGUAUACGGGAUUGCUGGAGGUCGGCAGAGGCAAGUGGAAUUAGUAGUGUAGCAGUGAAAUGCGUAGAGAUUACUAGGAACACCAAAUGGCGAAGGCAGCUUGCUGGGCCGUACCUGACGCUGAGGAGCGAAAAGCGUGGGGGAGCAAACAGG
Molecule: ribosomal RNA, 257 nt
Filed under: uncultured bacterium
Lineage: Bacteria
Description: partial 16S ribosomal RNA
Rfam family: Bacterial small subunit ribosomal RNA
Source: RNAcentral